RNAcentral lists this ribosomal RNA (718 nucleotides) under uncultured Escherichia sp. Its description in RNAcentral is "bacterial SSU rRNA". It matches the Rfam family "Bacterial small subunit ribosomal RNA", at positions 39 to 746 of the family's 1533-position model. The record is from RNAcentral. Lineage: Bacteria; Pseudomonadati; Pseudomonadota; Gammaproteobacteria; Enterobacterales; Enterobacteriaceae.
GCGGCAGGCCUAACACAUGCAAGUCGAAUGGUAACAGGAAACAGCUUGCUGUUUCGCUGACGAGUGGCGGACGGGUGAGUAAUGUCUGGGAAACUGCCUGAUGGAGGGGGAUAACUACUGGAAACGGUAGCUAAUACCGCAUAACGUCGCAAGACCAAAGAGGGGGACCUUCGGGCCUCUUGCCAUCAGAUGUGCCCAGAUGGGAUUAGCUAGUAGGUGGGGUAACGGCUCACCUAGGCGACGAUCCCUAGCUGGUCUGAGAGGAUGACCAGCCACACUGGAACUGAGACACGGUCCAGACUCCUACGGGAGGCAGCAGUGGGGAAUAUUGCACAAUGGGCGCAAGCCUGAUGCAGCCAUGCCGCGUGUAUGAAGAAGGCCUUCGGGUUGUAAAGUACUUUCAGCGGGGAGGAGGGGAGUAAAGUUAAUACCUUUGCUCAUUGACGUUACCCGCAGAAGAAGCACCGGCUAACUCCGUGCCAGCAGCCGCGGUAAUACGGAGGGUGCAAGCGUUAAUCGGAAUUACUGGGCGUAAAGCGCACGCAGGCGGUUUGUUAAGUCAGAUGUGAAAUCCCCGGGCUCAACCUGGGAACUGCAUCUGAUACUGGCAAGCUUGAGUCUCGUAGAGGGGGGUAGAAUUCCAGGUGUAGCGGUGAAAUGCGUAGAGAUCUGGAGGAAUACCGGUGGCGAAGGCGGCCCCCUGGACGAAGACUGACGC